Molecule: long non-coding RNA, 3714 nt
Filed under: Marmota monax (woodchuck)
Lineage: Eukaryota; Metazoa; Chordata; Mammalia; Rodentia; Sciuridae
Source: RNAcentral
CCCACUCCCUGGUGAGUGGCUCCCUGUGAUGUGGCCAUUCUGCUGUCCCCUGCCCACGCUCCAUGGCUCCCUGUGUCCGAGGGGAAGUGCGUCCCUGGUCAUGGUUUCCACAGAACUGGGCUGUUUGUCUCUGCACUUGUGAACGAUUUCCUGGGCCGUCAGAUCCCUUCAUCUUCCUUCUUCCAUGGCCAGCUGUUAACAACAGCCACAAACAAGCAUCAAACAGAGCAGAAGGAGCAAGCCCAGGGUCCAUCCACGGCCCAAGGAGGGGGCCUUCCUCCAGCUGACCAGCACUCUGUNCUCCCUCCAGGAGUCGGGGGGGGGGGCCUUGAAUUUUCUGUGGUCAUUUAGGCUGCAGUGUGCGCCUCUGGUCAUGGCUUUGCUGGCCUGAGUGGCGAGGCUCACCUGGAGCUCUGUCCUCGGGGCUCACCGGCCCUCCCACAUGCAGGGCUGCCUGCUGAUCACGCGCGGUCAUCUUCCUCCUGAUGACAGAUGCAUGGGUUCCCCGAUAGCUCUCCACUGUCAGCUGGAAGUCAAAGGUUCAGCUUAGCUCUCACACUGUCAGGAGUGAGUUUACACCCCACGGGGCAGGCUCAGACCCACAGGGUGCCCCACUGAGAUACCAGCUGCAGGCCAAGGGACCAACCCGCUCCUGACCAACUGCCUGUGCACCUGGGCUCCCUCGGCUCCCGCCCGGGCCUGGGAAUGUGCUAGAACAACCUGCCUAAUGCAGGAAACCCUGCCAUGCACUGUCUCUUUGUAGAGGACCAGCUCGGACACAGCCAGAGGAAGGGGGUGCACAGGAGGGUGGGGGGACACUGGCACUCAGUGGUCCUCCACACACUCAGCUCCAUGCACCGGGGGCUCUGCUGGCACCCUCCGGGUCUAUGAGAAUUCCUGAGGGUAUGGGCCAGGGCUGGCUCUCCCUCCUCAGAGCUCUGGUCUUUCUAGUCACCCAUUACCAUGACCUUAGGUGUGGUUGUAGAGAUGACAAAGGGACAGCUCUACCCCUCAGGAAUUCCAAGGCAUGGGGAGCUCUGUGCUAGGAACCAGGAGCCAAGGUCCAGGGUGUCUUCAUUGCUGCACACCCAGCGUGGCCUCCUGGCCUAGACUGCCCCUGCUUCCCGUGGCCACCUGUGCCUACGCCUGCAGCUGGCUGCUGCUGUGCCCUCACUCACAGCACCCUGACUGGGUGUCGGAACACUUAAACAGACCACCUUAAAUCGCCAGCCGAGGGAACAAGGGAGACUGGAAGACACAGCACCGCCAAGGGCUAGGAGCCUCGUCACUGACACGGCGCCAGUGCGAGUCACGCAUCGGUGGCAUUGGUGUGCCCACCUGUGACAGAACCCCGGCCGCCCCCACUCCCUGGUGAGUGGCUCCCUGUGAUGCGGCCAUUCUGCUGUCCCCUGCCCACGCUCCAUGGCUCCCUGUGUCCGAGGGGAAGUGCGUCCCUGGUCAUGGUUUCCACAGAACUGGGCUGUUUGUCUCUGCACUUGUGAACGAUUUCCUGGGCCGUCAGAUCCCUUCAUCUUCCUUCUUCCAUGGCCAGCUGUUAACAACAGCCACAAACAAGCAUCAAACAGAGCAGAAGGAGCAAGCCCAGGGUCCAUCCACGGCCCAAGGAGGGGGCCUUCCUCCAGCUGACCAGCACUCUGUCCUCUGCAGACCCGAGUUAGAUUUCUCUUUUGGAUGCAGAAGGCAAGAGCAAUGCUUGUACAUACAAAAUGAGACAGUCCAGACGCUGGGGACCCAGUGCAGGAGAAACCACAGGGUAUGUCCAAAUGUACAUUUCAACACUUUCAAAGAAAGGAGUGUUUCAGGAAGUCACAACACUACAUUUGGCACCUUGGUCAAGUGUCAGACGGCUGUUGGUAUACGGGUCUGUCUCUGUGCCUUCUGUUCUGUUCUGCUGGUCUUCACGUCUGGUUGAACGCCAAUUCCACGCUGUUUUGUUACUACGGCUGCUUGACUGUUUGGGGUCUCUUAUUCUCCCACAUGAAUUUCAGGACUGUUUUUUCAGUUCUGUGCACAUCUUUGGUACCUUGAUGGGUUGCACUGAAUCUGUGCGUUGCUCUUGGUAGUGUGACCAGUUUGUGGUGGAGGAGUAAGUUUACCUUACGUGAGGGUCAGGGUAGGCGGCUUCCUUAUUGUGUUAAGGUGCUAGACAACAACAAUAACACACACACACACACACACUGCUCCUGCGGUUGUCCCCACUCCCCCUCCCUGGGCCUCCCAUCUCAGUGACAGUGCCUCGCGCUCUCCAGCUGGGAGUCCAGAGGCCCCAGGGCUGCUCUUAGCGGCUUCUCUCUGGCUUCCCCGUUCACUGGAUAACUUCGAAGCACACCAGAAUCCGACCUUGCCUCUCACCUCCCUUAGGACCACUCUGUCCACAGCACCACCAGCACCCUGGCCUGUGUCACUCCAGUAGAGCUCCCUGAGUGCCCCCGUGCCUUCUCCCUGGCCCCCCAGCAGGCUCCUCAGCCCAGAGCAAGGGCCAUCUUUCCUGAGUCCCCUGAGCCCUCCCUGUCCCCUACCCGCCCUGCACAGGGUGGUGGGAGCUUCUGCAGUGCCUGCAGCUGGCCUGGAGCUGUCCCCUCUCCCCCAGGGUCCCCUGCACUUCCCCCCAGCUCCCCUUAUCUGUGGGCAUGAGGCUGGAGGGAUGCUCAGAGAGAGGCCAGUGGUCCUGUAACUGCAGGGUUGUGCUCAGGACAGCUGUAGUCACACAGCAGGGAAGACAAGGGAAACCCUGUGUGACACUGCACAUCCACGACCACAGACCCGCACGUUCCCAGGAGCAGAGAAAAAUAUGGCCCUGUGGUGUCAGCUCAUUAUCACAGCAGAGUGGAAAAGAAGGAAGGGUAAAAAUACUAGCUUUUUCUUUUUCUAUCUUUUAAUGUUUGCUUAUUAAAUUGGGUGCACCUUUACAGUGUAAAAAUAUCCAAUAAAGAAAAACUAAAACAGCUACUAUUUGAAAGGACAAGGCCCGAAACUCAAUAAACAAACAGUAAUUGUUCAUGUGUCUAUCAGAAGACCCAGAUUUCUAUCACAAUGCUCAAAAAAUAGAAAAAAAAGUGACAUGGUUUCAAUCCCGGGUUGAUCUAGGGCGGCUGUGUCGUUCACACAGGAGGAAAAUGAGACCCAGCCCAGGCCCUUGGCAGGACCACAGCAGAAACAUGUGUGUGACAAUAUGCACUCCAGGGGCUAAGCAUGUGCCCAAGCACAGCUGGAUGGUGGCAGAGGUACAUCUCCACCCUGAUCUUCUGACACCAGGCCCAGGGCUCUUUGCCGACAGCACAGGUCGGGAGAAUCCACAGGGGCAUGAGGUCCUCACACACACCGUGCUCUGUCCACUCGGGCAGCACCGUGAUGGUCACGUCCAGGAGCCGGCCGUGUGCUCUUCCUAGAAACCCCAUUUUUUUAAUUUUGGAAUUUGGGGUCUUUGAGGCACACACAUAACGCUUAGACACUGAUUUCCAACACUUGAGACAAGCAGAGCCCACAACCAGAUGUCCCCUCUGGAGCCCACUGCUCUGUCUGAUGCUGGCCACGGCCCCUGCUGUCUGUGUGGGAGGGCUGCCUGGUUUCUGCGUUGAGUCCCUGUCACCUCCCAAGCUCUGAAUGAAGCUUCAGUGAGGCCCCUGCCGCUCCCUCCGUGGAACGUCUGAUGGGCACGUCUCUGGACUCCCCCGACACCUAGCACUUUCCCGC